Molecule: long non-coding RNA, 16051 nt
Filed under: Vitis vinifera (wine grape)
Lineage: Eukaryota; Viridiplantae; Streptophyta; Magnoliopsida; Vitales; Vitaceae
Description: long non-coding RNA (VVIN_LNC003539)
Source: RNAcentral
UAUUCUCUCAAAUUUUGCAUUGUUCUUCAUAUUUAUCUUUUCGUGUUAUAUGUUUACUGUAUGUGUGUACUAGAUAAUUAAUUUUAUAUCCGUUAAUUUCUUUGUUAGUUUUUUAUCUUGAUGUUGCAUUGUCUAUUCUUCAUUUCUUUAGUUUCGUAUCCGUAUAAUUUUAUUUCCUUUCUACAAUAUUGUGCCAUAAGAGUUAAUUUUCUUAAUCUCGUUUUUACAUUUGAUCUGUACUCCUUUUGCUACCCUUCUAUAAGCGUAAGGGUAUAACUUUCAGGUUUCCCUAGGAAAAUAGAAGUUUAUUUGGAAAUACUUGUCAUGUAAGUUUCCUCUGCAUCCCUUAUUCUUCUCCAUUUAGUAUUGUUGUUCAUUCUUCUCUUUUAUGUUUAAGUGCUAUUUGUUGACCGCAUGUAUGUAGUAGAGAAUUAAUUUUCAAUCCUUUCAUUUCUUUGUUUUUUGUAAGAGCUUGAUGUUGUGUUUUCUAUUCCUCAUUUCUUUAGUUUUGUAUCAUAAUAAUUUGAUUUACUUUCAAGGACAUUGUGGUUUUCACAUUUGAUCUAUACACCUUUCUCUACCUUUCUUUAAGCAUAAAGGUAGAAUUUUCAGGUUUCCCGUGGUAAAGAGAAGUUUAUUGCGAAUUAGUUCUUGGAUAAGUUUNNNNNNNNNNNNNNNNNNNNNNNNNNNNNNNNNNNNNNNNNNNNNNNNNNNNNNNNNNNNNNNNNNNNNNNNNNNNNNNNNNNNNNNNNNNNNNNNNNNNAAAUGUUAGAACCACAAUGUCNCUUGAGAGUAAAUAAAAUUAUUCGGAUACGAAACUAAAGAUAUGAGCAAUAGAAAACACAACAUCAAGCCUUAAAAAAAAAAAACAAAGAAAUCAAAGGAUUGAAAAUUAAUUCUCUACUACAUACAUGAGGUCAACAAAUAACACUCAAACAUAAAAGACAAGAAUAAAGAACAAUGCGAAAUGGAAGAGAAUAGGGGAUACGAAGGAAACUUACCUGACAAGGAUUUCCAAAUAAGCUUCUCUUCUCCUCGGGACACUUGAAAAUUCUACCCUUACGCUUAUAGAAAGUAGAGAAAAGAGUAGAGAUCAAAUGUAAAAACGAGAGUAAGAAAAUUAACUCUCAAGAGACAAUAUCGUUGAAAUGAAAUUAAAUUAUGCUGAUACGAAACUAAAAAAAUGAGGAAUAGAUAACGCAACAUCAAGAUAAAAAAAAAAACAAAGAAAUUAACGGAUUCAAAAAUAAUUUUCUAAUACACACAUACAAUAGACGUAUAACACAAAACCAUAAAAGAUAACAAUGAAAAACAAUGCAAAAUGUGAGAGAAUAAGGAAUACGGAGGAAACUUAUCCAAUAACCAAUUCCCAAUAAACUUUUGUUCACCACGGGAAACCUUAAAAUUCUACCUUUACGCUUAAAGCAAGGUAGAGAAAGGAGUAGAUAUCAAAUGUUAAAACCACAAUGUCCUUGAAAGUAAAUCAAAUUAUUCUGAUACGAAACUAAAGAAAUGAGGAAUAGAAAACACAAGAUCAAGCUUUAAAAAAAAAAACAAAGAAAUCAAAGAAUUGAAAAUUAAUUUUCUGCUACACACAUGCGGUCAACAAAUAACACUCAAACAUAAAAGACAAGAAUCAAGAACAAUGCGAAGUGGAAGAGAAUAGUGGAUACGAAGGAAACUUACCUGACAAGGAUAUCCAAAUAAGCUUCUCUUCUCCUCGGGACACUUGAAAAUUCUACCCCUACGCUUAUAGAAAGUAGAGAAAAGAGUAGAGAUCAAAUGUAAAAACGAGAGUAAGAAAAUUAACUCUCAAGAGACAAUAUCGUUGAAAUUAAAUUAAAUUAUGUUGAUACGAAACUAAAAAAAUGAGGAAUAGAUAACGCAACAUCAAGAUAAAAAAAAAAAACAAAGAAAUUAACGGAUUCAAAAAUAAUUUUCUAAUACACACAUACAGUAGACGUAUAACACAAAACUAUAAAAGGUAACAAUGAAAAACAAUGCAAAAUGUGAGAGAAUAGGGAAUACGGAGGAAACUUAUCCAAUAACCAAUUCCCAAUAAACUUUUGUUCACCACGGGAAACCUUAAAAUUCUACCCUUACGCUUAAAGCAAGGUAGAGAAAUGAGUAGAUAUCAAAUGUUAAAACCACAAUGUCCUUGAAAGUAAAUCAAAUUAUUCUGAUACGAAACUAAAGAAAUGAGGAAUAGAAAACACAAGAUCAAGCUUUGAAAAAAAAAACAAAGAAAUCAAAGGAUUGAAAAUUAAUUUUCUGCUACACACAUGCGGUCAACAAAUAACACUCAAACAUAAAAGAGAAGAAUGAAAAAUAAUGCGAAAUGGAGGAAAAUAGGGGAUAAGGAGGAAACUUACCUGACAAGUAUUUCCCCAUAAACAUCUUUUUUCCUCGAGAAACCUAAAAAUUCUACCCUUACGCUUAUAGAAGGUAGCGAAAGGAGUAGAGAUCAAAUGUAAAAAUGAGAAUAAGAAAAUUAACUCUUAAGGCUCAAUAUUGUUAAAAGGAAAUCAAAUUCUGCUGACACGAAACUAAAGAAAUGAGGAAUAGACAACGCAACAUCAAGAUAAAAAACAAACAAAGAAAUUAAUGGAUUCAAAAUUAAUUUUCUAGAACACACGUAUAGUAGACAUAUAACACGAAAACAUAAAAGAUAAAUAAGAAGAACAACGCAAAAUUUGAGAGAAUAGGGAAUAUGGAGAAAACUUAUUGAAGAACUAAUUCCCAAUAAACUUCUCUUGACCAGGGGAAACCUGAAAAUUCUACCCUUACGCUUAAAGCAAGGUAGAGAAAGGAGUAGAGAUCAAAUUUUAAAACCACAAUGUACUUGAAAGUAAAUAAAAUUAUUUUGAUAAGAAACUAAAGAAAUGAGAAAUAGAAAACACAACAUAGAGCAAUAAAAAAAAACAAUGAAAUCAAAGGAUUGAAAAUUCAUUAUCCACUAGAUACACGCAGUGAACAAAUAACACUCAAACAUAAAAAAAAAAAGAAUGAAGAACAAUGCGAAAUGGUGGAGAAUAGGGGAUACAGAGAAAACUUACCUGACAAAUAUUUCCAAACAAACCACUCUUUUCCUCGGGAAACCUAAAAAAUUCUACACUUAUGCUUAUAGAAUGUAGCGAAAUGAGUAGAUAUCAAAAGUAAAAACGAGAAUAAGAAAAUUAAUUCUUAAGGCGCAAUAUCGUUGAAAGGAAAUCAAAUUAUGCAAAUACAAAACUAAAGAAAUGAGGAAUAGACAACGCAAGAUCAAGAUAAAAAACAACCAAAGAAAUUAACGGAUUCAAAAUUAAUUUUCUAGUACACAGAUACAGUAGACAUAUAACAUGAAAACAUACAAGAUAAAUAUGAAGAACAUUGCAAAAUUUGAGAGAAUAGGGAAUACGGAGGAAACUUAUCCAAGAACUAAUUCUCAAUAAACUUUCCUUCACAACGGGAAACCUGAAAAUUCUACCCUUUCGCUUAAAGCAAGGUACAGAAAGGAUUAGAGAUCAAAUGUUAAAACCACAAUGUCCUUGAAAGUAAAUAAAAUUAUUUUGAUAAGAAACUAAAGAAAUGAGCAAUAGAAAACACAACAUAGAGCUCUAAAAAAAACAAUGAAAUCAAAGGAUUGAAAAUUCAUUCUCUACUACAUACACGUAGUCAACAAAUAACACUCAAACAAAAUAGAGACGAAUGAAGAACAAUGCGAAAUGGAGGAGAAUAGGUGAUACAAACAAACUACUCUUUUCCUCGGGAAACCUGAAAAUUCUACUUUCACGCUUACCUGACAAGUAUGUGUGUACUAGAAAAUUAAUUUUGAAUCCGUUAAUUUCUUUGUUUGUUUUUUAUCUUGACCUUGCAUUGUUUAUUCCUCAUUUCUUUAGUUUUGUAUCUACAUAAUUUGAUUUGCUUUCAACGAUAUUGUGCCUUAAGAGUUCAUUUUCUUAUUCUCGUUUUUACUUUUGAUCUGUACUCCUUUCGCUACAUUCGAUAAGCGUAAGGGUAAAAUUUUCAGGUUUCUCGAGGAAAAGAGAAGUUUGUUUGGAAAUACUUGUCAGGUAAGUUUUCUCUGUAUCCCCUAUUCUCCUCCAUUUCGCAUUGUUCUUCAUUCUUCUCUUUUAUGUUUAAGUGUUAUUUGUUGAAUUCGUGUAUGUAGUAGAGAAUGAAUUUUUAACCUUUUGAUUUCAUUGGGUUUUUUUUUUAUAGCUCUAUGUUGUGUUUUCUAUUACUCAUUUCUUGACUUCCUUAUCAAAGUAAUUUUAUUUACUUUCAAGUACAUUGUGCUUUGAAAAUUUGAUCUCUACUCCUUUCUCUACCUUGCUUUAAGCGUAAGCGUAGAAUUUUUCAGGCUUCCCGUGGUCAAGAGAGUUUUAAUGGGAAUUAAUUAUUCAAUAAGUUUCCUCCAUAUUCCCUAUUCUCUCAAAUUUUGCACUGUUCUUCAUAUUAAUCUUUUAUGUUUUCGGGUUAUAUGCCUACUGUAUGUGUGUACUAGAAAAUUAAUUUUGAAUCCACUUAUUUCUUUGCUUGUUUUUUAUCUUGAUGUUGCGUUGUCUAUUCCUCAUUUCUUUAGUUUUGUAGCUGCAUAAUUUGAUUUGCUUUCAACGAUAUUGUGCCUUAAGAGUUCAUUUUCUUAUUCUCGUUUUUACAUUUGCCAGGUAAGUUUUCUUUGUAUCCCCUAUUCUCGUUCAUUUCGCAUUGUUCUUCAUUCUUCUCUAUUAUGUUUUAGUGUUAUUUUUUUAAAUUCGUGUAUGUAGCAGAGAAUGAAUUUUCAAUCUUUUGAUUUCAUUGUUUUUUUUUAUAGCUCUAUGUUGUGUUUUCUAUUACUCAUUUCUUUACUUUUUUAUCAAAAUAAUUUUAUUUUCUUUGAAGUACAUUGUGGUUUUACAAUUUGAUUUCUACUCCUUUCUCUACCUUGCUUUAAGAGUAAGGGUAGAAUUUUCAAGUUUCCCGUGGUCAAGAGAAGUUUAUUAGGAAUUAGCUAUUCAAUAAGUUUCCUCUAUAUUCCCUAUUCCCUCAAAUUUUGCACGGUUCUUCGUAUUUAUCUUUUAUGUUUUCAUGUUAUAUGCCUACUGUAUGUGUGUAUUAGUAAAUUAAUUUUCAAUCCGUUAAUUUCUUUGCUUGUUUUUUUAUCUUGAUGUUGCGUUGUCCAUUCCUCAUUUCCUUAGUUUCGUAUAUGCAUAAUUUGAUUUCCUUUCAACGAUAUUGUGCCUUAAGUUUUAUAUUUCUUAGUCUCGUUUUUACAUUUGAUUUCUACUCCUUUCGCUACCUUUUAUAAGCGUAAGAGCAAAAUUUUCAGGUUUCCCAAGGAAAAGAGAAGCUUAUUUGGAAAUACUAGUCAUGUAAGUUUCCUCCGUAUCCCUUAUUCUCUUCUAUUUCGCAUUGUUCUUUAUUCUUCUCUUUUAUGUUUGAGUGUUAUUUGUUGACCGCAUGUAUGUAGUAGAGAAUUAAUUUUCAAUCCUUUGAUUUCUUUGUUUGUUUUUAAAAGCUUGAUGUUUUGUUUUCUAUUGCUCAUAUCUUUAGUUUCGUAUUCGAAUAAUUUUAUUUACUCUCAAGGACAUUGUGGUUUUAACAUUUGAUCUCUUCUCCUUUCUCUACCUUGCUUUAAGCAUAAGGGUAGAAUUUUCAAGCUUCCCGUGGUCAAGAGAAGUUUAUUGGGAAUUAGUUAUUCGAUAAGUUUCCUCCAUAUUCCCUAUUCUCUCAAAUUUUGCACUGUUCUUCAUAUUAAUCUUUUAUGUUUUCAUGUUAUAUGCCUACUGUAUGUGUGUAUUAGAAAAUUAAUUUUCAAUCCGUUAAUUUCUUUGCUUGUUUUUUUAUCUUGAUGUUGCGUUGUCUAUUCCUCAUUUUUAUAGUUUCGUAUAUGCAUAAUUUGAUUUCCUUUCAACGAUAUUGUGCCUUAAGUUUUAUAUUUCUUAGUCUCGUUUUUACAUUUGAUUUUCACUCCUUUCGCUACCUUCUAUAAGCGUAAAGGUAGAAUUUUCAGGUUUCCCGAGGAAAAAAGAAGCUUAUUUGGAAAUACUUGUCAGGUAAGUUUCCUCCAUAUCCCCUAUUCUUUUCCAUUUCGCAUUGUUCUUUAUUCUUCUCUUUUAUGUUUGAUUGUUAUUUGUUGACCGCAUGUAUGUAGUAGAGAAUUAAUUUUCAAUCCUUUGAUUUCUUUGUUUGUUUUUAAAAGCUUGAUGUUGUGUUUUCUAUUGCUCAUAUCUUUAGUUUCGUAUUCGAAUAAUUUUUCUACUCUCAAGGACAUUGUGGUUUUAACAUUUGAUCUCUACUCCUUUCUCUACCUUGCUUUAAGCAUAAGGGUAGAAUUUUUCAGGUUUCCAAUGGUAAAGAGAAGUUUAUUGGGAAUUAGUUCUUGGAUAAGUUUCCUCCGUAUUCCCUAUUCUCUCAAAUUUUGCACUGUNNNNNNNNNNNNNNNNNNNNNNNNNNNNNNNNNNNNNNNNNNNNNNNNNNNNNNNNNNNNNNNNNNNNNNNNNNNNNNNNNNNNNNNNNNNNNNNNNNNNGUAUUUCCACACUAUACUUCUCAUUUCCUCUGGAAUCUGUAUAUUUCUACUUUCGCGCUUACCAGACUAAGUACGUGUGUCAUCGAAAAUUAAUUCUGAAUCCGUUAAUUUCUUUGUUUGUUUUUUAUCUCGAUCUUACGUUGUCUAUUCCUCAUUUCUUUAGUUUAUACCUGCAUAAUUUGAUUUUCUUUCAAUGAUAUUGCGCCUUGAGAGUUAAUUUUCUUAUUCUCAAUUUUACAUUUGAUCUCUACUCCUUUCGCUACAUUCUAUAAGCGUAAGGGUAGAAUUUUCAAGUUUCCCGAGGAAAAGAGAAGUUUGUUUGAAAAUACUUGUCAGGUAAGUUUUCUCCGCAUCCCCUAUUCUCCUCCAUUUUGCAUUGUUCUUCAUUCUUCUCUUUUAUAUUUGAGUGUUAUUUGUUCACUGCCUGUAUGUUGUACAGAAUGAAUUUUCAAUCCUUUGAUUUCAUUGCUUUUUUUUAGAGCUCUAUGUUGUGUUUUCUAUUAUUCAUUUCUUUAGUUUUGUAUCAAAAUAAUUUUAUUUACUCUCAAGGACAUUGUGGUUUUAACAUUUGAUCUCUUCUCAUUUCUCUAUCUUGCUUUAAGCGUAAGGGUAGAAUUUUCAGGUUUCCCGUGGUCAUGAGAAGUUUAUUUCGAGUUAGUUCUUCAGUAAGUUUCCUCUAUAUUCCCUAUUCUCUCAAAAAUUUUGCACUGUUUCUCCUAUUUAUCUUUUCGUGUUAUAUGUCUACUGUAUGUGUGUACUAGAAAAUUAAUUCUGAAUCCGUUAAUUUCUUUGUCUAUUUUUUUUCUUGAUGUUGCGUUUUCUAUUCCUCAUUUCUUUAGUUUCGUAUAUGCAUAAUUUGAUUUCCUUUCAAGGAUAUUGCGCAAUAGUUAAUUUUCUUAUUCUCGUUUUUACAUUUGAUCUCUACUCCUUUCGCUACAUUCUCUAAGCGUAAGGGUAGAAUUUAAAGGUUUCCCAAGGAAAAGAGAAGUGUUUUUGGAAAUACUUGUCAGGUAAGUUUUCUCCGUAUCCCUUAUUCCCCACCACUUCGCAUUGUUCUUCAUUCUUCUCUUUUAUGUUUGAGUGUUAUUUGUUCACUGCGUGUAUCUAGUAGAGAAUUAAUUUUCAAUCCUUUGAUUUCAAUUUUUUUUUUUUUAUACCUCUAUGUUGUGUUUUCUAUUACUCAUUUCUUUAGUUUCGUAUCAAAAUAAUUUUAGUUACUUUCAAGUACAUUGUGGUUUUAAAAUUUGAUCUCUACUCCUUUCUCUACCUUGCUUUAAGCGUAAGGGUAGAAUUUUCAGGUUUCCCCUGGUCAAGAGAAGUUUAUAAGGAAUUAGUUCUUCGAUAAGUUUCCUCCAUAUUCACUAUUCUCUCAAAUUUUGCUUUGUUCUUCUUAUUUCUCUUUUAUGUUUUCGUGUUAUAUGUCUACUGUAUGUGCGUACUAUAUAAUUAAUUUUAUAUCCGUUAAUUUCAUUGUUUGUUUUUUAUCUUGAUGUUGUGUUGUCUAUUCCUCAUUUCUUUAAUUUGGUAUCCAUAUAAUUUUAUUUCCUUUCUACAAUAUUGUGCCAUAAGAGUUAAUUUUCUUAAUCUCGAUUUUACAUUUGAUCUCUACUCCUUUCGCUACCUUCUAUAAGCGUAAGGGUAGAAUUUUCAGGUUGCUCGAGGAAAAGAGAAGUUUAUGGGAAAAUACUUGUCAGGUAAGUUUCCUCCGUAUCCCCUAUUCUCCUCCAUUUGGAAUUGUUGUUCAUUAUUCUCUUUUAUGUUUGAGUGUUAUUUGUUGACCACAUGUAUGUAGUAGAUAAUUAAUUUUCAAUCCUUUGAUUACUUUGGCUUUUUUUAAAAGCUUGAUCUUGUGUUUUCUAUUCCUCAUUUCUUUAGUUUCUUAUCAAAAUAAUUUUAUUUACUUUCAAGGACAUUGUGGUUUUAACAUUUGAUCUCUACCCCUUUCUCUACUUUGCUCUAAGCACAAUGGUAGAAUUUUCAAGUUUUCGGUGGUGAAGAGAAGUUUAUUGGGAAUUAGUUCUCGGAUAAGUUUUCCCCAAAUUCCCUACUCUCUCAAAUAUUGUAUUGUUCUUCAUUUUUAUCUUGUAUGUUUUCAUGUUAUAUUUCUACUAUAUGUAUGUACUAGAUAAUUAAUUUUAUAUCCGUUAAUUUCUUUGUUUGUUUUUUAUCUUGAUGUUGCAUUCUGUAUUCCCCAUUUCUUUAGUUUCGUAUCCAUAUAAUUUUAUUUCCUUUCUACAAUAUUGUGCCAUAAGAGUUAAUUUUCUUAAUCUCGUUUUUAUAUUUAAUCUCUACUCCUUUCGCUACCUUCUAUAAGCGUACGGGUAGAACUUUCAGGUUUCCCUUUGAAAAUAGAAGUUUAUUUGAAAAUACUUGUCAUGUAAGUUUCCUCUGUAUCCCAUAUUCUCCUCCAUUUGGCAUUGUUGUUCAUUCUUCUCUUUUAUGUUAAAGUGCUAUUUGUUGACCGCAUGUAUGUAGUAGAGAAUUAAUUUUCACUCUUUUGAUUUUUUUUUUUUUUUAAGAGCUUGAUCUUGUGUUUUCUAUUCCUCAUUUCUUUAGUUUCGUAUCAGAAUAAUUUGAUUUACUUUAAAGGACAUUAUGGUUUUCACAUUUGAUCUGUACACCUUUCUCUACCUUUCCCAAUAAACUUCCCUUGACCUCAGGAAACCUGAAAAUUCUACCCUUAUGCUUAAAUCAAGGUAGAGAAAGGAGAAGAGAUCAAAUGUUAAAACCACAAUGUCCUAAAGAGUAAAUAAAAUUAUUCGGAUAUGAAACUAAAGAUAUGAGCAAUAGAAAACACAACAUCAAGCUUUUAAAAACAAACAAAUAUAUCAAAGGAUUGAAAAUAAACUCUCUACUACAUACAUGCGGUAAAAAAAUAACACUCAAACAUAAAAAGAGAAGAAUAGAGAACAAUGCGAAAUGGUAAAGAAUAAGGGAUACGGAGGAAACUUACCUGACAAGUAUUUCCAAAUGAGCUUCUCUUUUCCUCGAGACACUUGAAAAUUUUACUCUUAUGCUUAUAGAAAGUAGCGAAAGGAGUAGAGAUCAAAUGUAAAAACGAGAAUAAGAAAAUUAACUCUCAAGACACAAUAUCGUUGACAUGAAAUUAAAUUAUGCUGUUACGAAACUAAAAAAAUGAGAAUAGACAACGCAACAUCAGAAUAAAAAACAAACAAAGGAAUUAACAAAUUCAAAAAUAAUUUUCUAGUACACACAUACAGUAGACGCAUAAGAUGAAAACAUAAAAGAUAAAAAUGAAAAACAGUGCAAAAUUUGAGAGAAUAGGGAAUAGGGAGGAAACUUAUCAAAGAACCAAUUCCCAAUAAACUUCUAUUCACCACGGGAAACCUUAAAAUUCUACCCUUACGCUUAAAGCAAUGUAGAGAAAGGAGUAGAUAUCAAAUGUUAAAACCACAAUGUCCUUGGGAGUAAAUCAAAUUAUUUUGAUACAAAACUAAAAAAAUGAGGAAUAGAAAACACAACAUCAAGCUUUUAAAAAAAAAAACAAAGAAAUCAAAGGAUUGAAAAUUAAUUCUCUACUACACACAAGCGGUCAACAAAUAACACUCAAACAUAAAAGAGAAUAAUGAAGAACAAUGCAAAAUGGAGGAGAAUAGGGAAUACGGAGGAAACUUACCUGACAAGUAUUUCCCUAUAAACUUCUCUUUACCUCGAGAAACUUGAAAAUUCUACCCUUAUAUUUAUAGAAGGUAGCGAAAAGUGUAGACAUCAAAUGUAAAAAUGAUAAUAAGAAAAUUAACUCUUAAGGCUCAAUAUGGUUGAAAGGAAAUCAAAUUCUACUGAUACAAAACUAAAGAAAUGAGGAAUAGACAAUGCAACAUCAAGAUAAAAAACAAACAAAGAAAUUAAUGGAUUCAAUGUUAAUUUUCUAGAACACACAUAUAGUAGACAUAUAACACAAAAACAUAAAAGAUAAAUAAGAAGAACAACCAAGAUUUGAGAGAAUAGGGAAUAUGGAGAAAACUUACCGAAUAACUAAUUCCCAAUAAACUUCUCUUGACUAGGGGAAACCUGAAAAUUCUACCCUUACGCCUAAAACAAGGUAGAGAAAGGAGUAGAGAUCAAAUUUUAAAACCACAAUGUACUUGAAAGUAAAUAAAAAUUUUUUGAUAAGAAACUAAAGAAAUAAGAAAUAGAAAACACAACAUAGAGCUAUAAAAAAAAAACAAUGAAAUCAAAGGAUGGAAAAUUCAUUAUCUACUAAAUACACGCAGUGAACAAAUAACACUCAAACAUAAAAGAGAAAAAUACAUAACAAUGCAAAAUGGUGGAGAAUAGGAAAUACGAAGAAAACUUACUCGACAAGUAUUUCCAAAUACUCUUUUCCUUGGGAAACCUAAAAAAUUCUACCCUUACGCUUAUAGAAUGUAGCGAAAAGAGUAGAGAUCAAAAGUAAAAAUGAGAAUAAGAAAAUUAAUUCUUAAGGUGCAAUAUAGUUGAAAGGAAAUCAAAUUAUGCAAAUACAAAACUAAAGAAAAGAGGAAUAGACAACGCAAGAUCAAAAUUAAAAACAACCAAAGAAAUUAACGGAUUCAAAUUAAUUUUCUAGUACACACAUAUAGUAGACAUAUAACAUGAAAACAUACAAAAUAAAUAUGAAAAACAGUGCAAAAUUUGAGAGAAUAAGGAAUACGGAGGAACCUUAUUCAAGAACUAAUUCCCAAUAAACUUUCCUUCACCACGGGAAACCUGAAAAUUCUACCCUUACGCUUAAAGCAAGGUACAGAAAGGAUUAGAGAUCAAAUGUUAAAAUCACAAUGUCCUUGAAAGUAAAUAAAAUUAUUUUGAUAAGAAACUAAAGAAAUGAGUAAUAGAAAACACAAUAUAGAGCUCUAAAAAAACACAAUGAAAUCAAAGGAUUGAAAAUUAAUUCUCUACUACAUACACGUAGUCAACAAAUAACACUCAAACAAAACAGAGAAGAAUGAAGAACAAUGCGAAAUGGGGGAGAAUAGGGGAUACGAAGAAAACUUACUCGACAAGUAUUUCCAAACAAACUACUCUUUUCCUCGGGAUACCUUAAAAUUCUACUUUCACGCUUACCUGACAAGUAUGGGUGUACUAGAAAAUUAAUUUUGAAUCCGUUAAUUUCUUUGUUUAUUUUUUAUCUUGAUCUUGCGUUGUCUAUUCCUCAUUUCAUUAGUUUUGUAUCUACAUAAUUUGAUUUUCUUUCAACGAUAUUGUGCCUUAAGAGUUAAUUUUCUUAUUCUCGUUUUUACAUUUGAUCUCUACUCCUUCCGCUACAUUCUAUAAGCGUAAAGGUAGAAUUUUCAGGUUUCCCGAGGAAAAGAGAAGUUUGUUUGGAAAUACUUGUCAGGUAAGUUUUCUUCGUAUCCCCUAUUCUCCUCCAUUUCGCAUUGUUCUUCAUUCUUCUCUUUUUUGUUUGAGUGUUAUUUGUUGACUUCGUGUAUGUAGUAGACAACGAAUUUUCAAUCCUUUGAUUUCAUUGUUUUUUUUUAUAACUCUAUGUUAUGUUUUCUAUUACUCAUUUAUUUAGUUUCUUAUCAAAAUAAUUUUAUUUACUUUCAAGGACAUUGUGGUUUUAACAUUUGAUCUCUAAUCCUUUCUGUACCUUGCUUUAAGCGUAAAGGUAGAAUUUUCAGGUUUCCCGUGGUGAAGGAAAAGUUUAUUGGGAAUUAGUUCUUGGAUAAGGUUCCUCCGUAUUCCCUAUUCUCUCAAAUUUUGCACUGUUCUUCAUAUUUAUCUUGUAUGUUUUCAUGUUAUAUGUCUAUUGUAUGUAUGUACUAUAAAAUUAAUUUUGAAUCUGAUAAUGUCUUUGUUUAUUUUUUAUUUUUAUGGUGCGUUGUCUAUUCCUCAUUUCUUUAGUUUCGUAUCAACAUAAUUUGAUUUCCUUUCAACGAUAUUGUGCAUUAAGAGUUAAUUUUCUUAUUCUCGUUUUUACAUUUGAUCUCUACUCGUUUCGCUACAUUCUAUAAGCAUAAGGGUAGAAUUUUCAGGUUUCCCGAGGAAAGGAGAAGUUUUCAAUCCUUUGAUUUUAUUAUUUUCUUUUAGAGCUAUAUGUUGUGUUUUUCUAUUACUCAUUUCUUUAGUUUCUUAUCAAAAUAAUUUUAUUUACCUUCAAGGACAUUGUGGUUUUAACAUUUGAUCUCUACUCCUUUCGCUACAUUCUAUAAGCGUAAGGGUAGAAUUUUCAAGUUUCCCGAGGAAAAGAGAAGUUUGUUUGGAAAUACUUGUCAGGUAAGUUUUCUCCGUAUCCCCUAUUCUCCUUCAUUUCGCAUUGUUCUUCAUUCUUCUCUUUUAUGUUUGAGUGUUAUUUGUUGAAUUCGUGUAUGUAGUAGAGAAUGGAUUUUCAAUCUUUUGAUUUCAUUGUUUUUUUUUAGAGCUCUAUGUUGUGUUUUCUAUUAUUCAUUUCUUUAGUUUCAUAUCAAAUUAAUUUUAUUUACUCUCAAGGAUAUUGAUGUUUUAACAUUUAUUCUCUACACAUUUCUCAACUUGCUUUAAGCGUAAGGGUAGAAUUUUCAGGUUUCCCGUAGUGAAGAGAAGUUUAUUGGGAAUUAGUUAUUGGAUAAGUUUCCUCCGUAUUCCCUAUUCUCUCAAAUUUUGCGUUGUUCUUCAUUUUUAUCUUGUCAGUUUCCUCCGUAUCCUCUAUUCUCCUCCAUCUGGCAUUGUUAUUCAUUCUUCUCUUUUAUGUUUGAGUGUUAUUUGUUGACCGCGUGUAUGUAGUAGAGAAAUAAUUUUCAAUUCUUUGAUUUCGUUUUUUUUUUUUUUAAAAGCUUGAUGUUGUGUUCUCUAUUGCUCAUUUCUUUAGUUUCGUAUCCGAAUAAUUUUAUUUACUUUCAAGGACACUGUGGUUUUAACAUUUGAUCUUUUCUCCUUUCUCUACCUUGCUUUAAGCAUAAGGGUAGAAUUUUCAGGUUUCGCGUGGUCAAGAGAAGUUUAUUGGGAAUUAAUUCUUCGAUAAGUUUCCUCCCUAUUCCUUAUUCUCUCAAAUUUUGCAUUGUUUUUCAUAUUUAUCUUUUAUGUUUUCGUGUUAUAUGUCUACUGUAUGUGUGUACUAGAAAAUUAAUUUAUGAAUCCGUUAAUUUCUUUGUUUGUUUUUUAUCUUGAUCUUGCGUUGUGUAUUCCUCAUUUCAUUAGUUUCGUAUCUACAUAAUUUAAUUUCCUUUAACCGAUAUUGUGCCUUAAGAGUUAAUUUUCUUAUUCUCGUUUUUACAUUUGUAAUCUACUCAUUUCGCUACCUUCUAUAAGCGUAAGGGUAGAAUUUUUAGGUUUCCCCAGGAAAAGAAAUGUUUGUUUGGAAAUACUUGUCAGGUAAGUUUUCUCUGUAUCCACUAUUCUCCUCCAUUUUGUAAUGUUCUUCAUUCUUCUCUUUUAUGUUUGAUUGUUAUUUGUUGAUUGCGUGUAUAUAGUAGAUAAUGAAUUUUCAAUCCUUUGAUUUCAUUGUUUUUUUUUUUAGAGCUCUAUGUUGUGGUUUUUAUUACUCAUUUCUUUAGUUUCUUAUCAAAAUAAUUUUAUUUACUUUCAAGGACAAUGUGGUUUUAACAUUUGAUUUCUACUCUUUUCUCUACCUUGUUUUAAGCGUAAGAGUAAAAUUUUUAGGUUUUCCGUGGUGAAGAUAAGUUUAUUGGGAAUUAGUUCUUGGAUAAGUUUCCUCCGUAUUCCCUAUUCUCUCAAAUUUUGCACGGUUCUUCAUAUUUAUCUUGUAUGUUUUCGUAUUAUAUGUCUACUGUAUGUGUGUGCUAGAAAAUUAAUUUUGAUUCUGUUAACUUCUUUGUUUGUUUUUUAUCUUAAUUUUGCGUUGCUUAUUCCUCAUUUCUUUAGUUUCAUAUCUGCAUAGUUUGAUUUUCUUUCAACCAAAGCCUUAAGAGUUAAUUUUCUUAUUCUUGUUUUUACAUUUGAUCUCUACCCCUUUUGCUUCCUUCUAUAAGCGUAAAGGUAGAAUUUUUAGGUUUCCCAAAGAAAAGAGAAGUUUAUUGGAAAAUACUUGUCAGAUAAGUUUCCUCGAUAUACACUAUUCUCCUUCAUUACGCAUUGUAAUUCAUUCUGCUCUUUUAUGUUUGAGUGUUAUUUGUUGACUACAUGUAUGUAGUAGAGAAUGAAUUUUCAAUCUUUUGAUUUCAUUGUUUUUUUUUAGCUUUAUGUUGAGUUUUCUAUUACUCAUUUCUUAAGUUUCUUAUCAAAAUAAUUUUAUUUACUCUUAAGAAAAUUGUGGUUUUAACAUUUGAUCUCUACUCCUUUCUCGACCUUCCUUUAAGCGUAACGGUAGAAUUUUCAGGUUUCCCGUGGUGAGGAGAAGCUUUUUGGGAAUUAGUUCUUGUAUAAGUUUCCUCUGUAUUCCCCUAUUCUCUCAAAUUUUGCAUUGUUCUUCAUAGUUAUCUUGUAUGUUUUCGUGUUAUAUGUCCACUGUAUAUGUGUACUAGAAAAUUAAUUUUGAAUCCGUUAAUUUCUUUGUUUGUUUUUUAUCUUGAUCUUGCGUUGUCUAUUCCUCAUUUCUUUAGUUUCGUAUCAGCAUAAUUUAAUUUCCUUUCAACGAUAUUGUGUCUUGAGAGUUAAUUUUCUUAUUCUCGUUUUUACAUUUGAUCUCUACGCCUUUCGUUACUUUCUAUAAGCGUAAGGGUAGAAUUUUCAAGUGUCCCGAGGAAAUGAGAAGUUUAUUUGGAAAUACUUGUCAGGUAAGUUUCCUCUGUAUCCCUUAUUCUCUUCCAUUUCGCAUUGUUCUUUAUUAUUCUCUUUUAUGUUUGAGUGUUAUUUUUUAAUCGCAUGUAUGUAGUAGAGAAUAAAUUUUCAAUCCUUUGAUUUCUUUGUUUUCUUUUUAAAAGCUUGUUGUUGUGUUUUCUUCCUCAUUUCUUUAGUUUCGUAUCAGAAUAAUUUGAUUUACUUUCAAGGACAUUGUGCUUUUCACAUUUGAUCUAUACACCUUUCUUUAAGCAUAAGGGUAGAAUUUUCAGGUUUCCCGAGGUCAAGAGAAGUUUAUUGAGAAUUAGUUCUUCGAUAAGUUUCCUCCAUAUUCCCUAUUCUCUCAAAUUAUGCAUUGUUCUUCAUAUUUAUCUUUUAUGUUUUCGUGUUAUAUGUCUAUUGUAUGUAUGUACUAGAAAAUUAAUUUUGAAUCCGUUAAUUUCUUUAUUUGUUUUUUAUCUCGAUGUUGCGUUGUCUAUUCCUCAUUUUUUUAGUUUCGUAUCAGCAUAAUUUAAUUUCAUUUCAACGAUAUUGUGUCUUGAGAGUUAAUUUUCUUAUUCUCGUUUUUACAUUUAAUCUCUACUCCUUUCGCUACUUUCUAUAAGUGUAAGGGUAGAAUUUUCAAGUGUCCCGAGGAAAAGAGAAGUUUAUUUGGAAAUACUUGUCAGGUAAGUUUCCUCCGUAUUCCCUAUUCUCUUCCAUUUCGCAUUGUUCUUUAUUAUUCUCUUUUAUGUUUGAGUGUUAUUUGUUGACCACAUAUAUGUAGUAGAGAAUUAAUAUUCAAUCCUUUGAUUUCUUUGUUUUUUUUUUUAAAAGCUUGAUGUUGUGUUUUCUAUUCCUCAUUUCUUUAGUUUCGUAUCAGAAUAAUUUUGAUUUACUUUCAAGGACAUUGUGGUUUUCAC